GCCCAACUAAAUGUGUUCCAGUGAUUCCAAUAGCUAUUUAGCUGGUAUCUACUGCUAUAUCACCUAGUGUGAAGUUUUGGAAUUAAUGGAACAAUGAAAGAAGCAGUGCAGCUGGAGGCUCCCAAGUGGGCACGGAAGGUCUCCAAUUUAUGCAGUCAUUCUGCUGUGAAAAUGAACUAACCUUGUUAUUGGUGAAGGCCUUGGAAAUUUUUGCCAGCCGAGAGAGAGGUUUCUCUUACUCAGGGUAAGAUGUAAUCAUAGUAUGGGAGAGCUAGGCGGGAAUUCAGUUAACUUAAUCCAAUUGCCCAAUUUUAUACUUUGCAUCCAUUUGUAAACUGAAGCUGAGAACCUAAGUGGCCUGCACAAACAGCUUGUUAAAGAUCAGGUUUGAGGAGUACUCCUCAGAUUCCCCCGUACUCUUACAGAUAUGGCGUUGCCUCUUAAAAUACAAGUACUGGUCAAUUUGAGUAACAUAGACUGGAUUCAACUCUGACUGUGUCAGUGGAGUAUACAGAUGGUAUGGUCUUGGAAACUGCCUUUUCUUUUCUAACAACCUUUCCUGAUUACUGUCCAAGUCCUACCUUUGGUGGCUACUAGAUGAUGAGGAUCCAUAGAAAUGUCUCGGGGCAUGUGCUUGACAGCGACAGCCCGUGCGCCGUGCCCCUCGUAAGGACAGCCACAGGAAAGGCGGGCCUGGGAGGGAAAACGGGACUGAGCAUGCACUCCCCACUUACCCCUUGAAAAGUCGUAAGAGAACACAAUAAAACUUGAGGAUAGCUUCACCUUCUCUGGCUGACCAUGAUAAGUAAUAGGAGCAUUAAUAAUGCCGGAAUCCUGUCUGGUGGUCUUUUUUCAUUAUCAUUUCAAAACCAGGAACACCUGUAGCUUGUGUUUUGUGGUAUAUUUUUUUCUUAGGAAGUAAUGUUGACAUUAAAACAAAAAAAAAUUCAUUGCUUUGGAAAGGGGAGGGUGUUUUUCCUGAAUGAAUAAAUGCUAUGGGUUUGGUUGGGUGCCUUGUUUGCCUCUUUUAACGGCAGCGGAUUGAAUUAUAAAUGACAGACUUACAUUAUUAAUGUAGUAUGUGUGUGAUCCUGUCAAACAAGUUCUGAAAAUACUUAUAUAUACCAUGUGUCUAUUUAAAUUCCAUUUAAAAAAAUUAAAACACUGCAUACAUCCAAAGAAAUUCAGAGCAUUUAAAAACAAGCUUUACUUUCGGGUAGAUCACCUACCUGUUGUAAGAAAUGGAAGAAUAGGGUCAAGUGGUGAGGACAUUUUUAAGAACAGCAAUUUGCAAAGUCAAAAAAUCUAUUAGUGUUAUGUCUUAAAAUAGCACUGACUUUAGAAAUCAGGAAGUAUUGCCUCAUUUUUAACAGGGUGCAGUAAUACAAUUGUGAUUUUUGUUUUUAAGGUGAGUUUGAAAAUCCAGCUGAGAGAUUGUUUCUUGAAAUGCCAUUAUUUACACUCUUCUCAGAAGCACUGAGUCUGACAAGGCACCAGAUGCUUUGCUGGCAGUAGGUCAAGGACCAGAAUAAGCUUGUGGGCAUUCAUACAAGUGUUUAAAAAAAAAAAAAAAACUACAACCAACACAUCUUUUAUUUACUUGAUUGAAAGUCUAAUGGUACAUACGAGGUUUAAUAGAGUUGCCCUCCAUUUUAUUCACACUGACUCCACAGAGUUGUAUCCUCAAGCUCGAUUCCGCUCAGCUGCUGUUCUUGCUGGGGCUUUGUUUUCUUUCAGGGUCAAGGUGGGUACUUUCAUACAAAAUCUUAUUUUUAAUUCCAUCUCUGGCAGUUCUUUCCUGGAUUCUUAGCUUCGCAUAAUUAUACCUACAAUGGAACCUUAUAAAAAAAGAACACAAAUGAGUGAUUUUUAAUAUAAAUUUCCUCUAGAAGCCAGUUUGAAAUUUGUAGUAACAAAAUUUAAGAUGCUUAUAGAUGACUACCCCAAGAUUUUUUGAGAAUACAACCCUUCUAAUUUGGAGUGCUAUUUUGGGGUGGUUUGGUGUCAGAAAUACCUAAUUAUUUGGUAGGUUUUACAUAAAAUGAGGCUUUUAAUCACCUCUAGCUUAGUUUUACUUGUAGAACCUCAUCCAGUGGAACCAUAUAUAUACUGUGUACUCCUGACUCUGGCUUUAUUUUGCUCAAGAAAACACAGGAGAUUCAUGCAUGUGUUUUGUUAGUUGUGAACACAUUCUUAAAAGCCUUUUCAGAUGUGACAUCAACAAGCAAGAAAGAGCAUCAGGGUUGAGGCCUUCCUAAAUAAAGUAGAAGUCAUAACUUGGUAUUGAUGAAAUUCCAUGCAUUCAUCUGCUCAUUUGACAAAUGGUAUACAAUGUGUCUGCAUAGACAUACUUAAAAGAGGUUUCUUCCUC
Long non-coding RNA from Neomonachus schauinslandi (Hawaiian monk seal), 2371 nucleotides. RefSeq lists it as uncharacterized. NCBI's taxonomy places the organism in Eukaryota, Metazoa, Chordata, Mammalia, Carnivora, Phocidae. The transcript has 3 exons. The record is from RefSeq and is a predicted model, not a curated record.